GGAUGUAGCUCAGUGGCAGAGUGUGUGCUUAGCAUCCACAAGGUCCUGGGUUCAAUCCCCAGUACCUCCA
Molecule: transfer RNA, 70 nt
Filed under: Camelus bactrianus (Bactrian camel)
Lineage: Eukaryota; Metazoa; Chordata; Mammalia; Artiodactyla; Camelidae
Also listed under: 2 other names
Rfam family: tRNA
About the family: Transfer RNA (tRNA) molecules are approximately 80 nucleotides in length. Their secondary structure includes four short double-helical elements and three loops (D, anti-codon, and T loops).
Source: Rfam by way of RNAcentral